AGGCCUAACACAUGCAAGUCGAGCGGAUGACGGGAGCUUGCUCCUUGAUUCAGCGGCGGACGGGUGAGUAAUGCCUAUGAAUCUGCCUGGUAGUGGGGGACAACGUUUCGAAAGGAACGCUAAUACCGCAUACGUCCUACGGGAGAAAGCAGGGGACCUUCGGGCCUUGCGCUAUCAGAUGAGCCUAGGUCGGAUUAGCUAGUUGGUGGGGUAAUGGCUCACCAAGGCGACGAUCCGUAACUGGUCUGAGAGGAUGAUCAGUCACACUGGAACUGAGACACGGUCCAGACUCCUACGGGAGGCAGCAGUGGGGAAUAUUGGACAAUGGGCGAAAGCCUGAUCCAGCCAUGCCGCGUGUGUGAAGAAGGUCUUCGGAUUGUAAAGCACUUUAAGUUGGGAGGAAGGGCAGUAAGUUAAUACCUUGCUGUUUU
This 431-nucleotide ribosomal RNA is filed under the name uncultured Pseudomonas sp. RNAcentral's name for it is "bacterial SSU rRNA". It matches the Rfam family "Bacterial small subunit ribosomal RNA", at positions 44 to 471 of the family's 1533-position model. Lineage: Bacteria; Pseudomonadati; Pseudomonadota; Gammaproteobacteria; Pseudomonadales; Pseudomonadaceae. The record is from RNAcentral.